Molecule: ribosomal RNA, 253 nt
Filed under: uncultured bacterium
Lineage: Bacteria
Description: partial 16S ribosomal RNA
Rfam family: Bacterial small subunit ribosomal RNA
Source: RNAcentral
UACGAAGGGGGCUAGCGUUGCUCGGAAUUACUGGGCGUAAAGCGCACGUAGGCGGCUUCUUAAGUCGGUGGUGAAAUCCUGGAGCUCAACUCCAGAACUGCCUUCGAUACUGGGAAGCUCGAGUCCGGGAGAGGUGAGUGGAACUGCGAGUGUAGAGGUGAAAUUCGUAGAUAUCGGGAGGAACACCAGUGGCGAAGGCGGUUACCUGGAGCUUUGCUGACGCUGAUGCGCGAAAGCGUGGGGAGCGAUCCGG